Molecule: non-coding RNA, 28 nt
Filed under: Homo sapiens (human)
Lineage: Eukaryota; Metazoa; Chordata; Mammalia; Primates; Hominidae
Source: RNAcentral
UGUGACUGCAAAUGCUAAUGCCCUGCAA